RNAcentral lists this ribosomal RNA (253 nucleotides) under uncultured bacterium. RNAcentral describes it as "partial 16S ribosomal RNA". It matches the Rfam family "Bacterial small subunit ribosomal RNA", at positions 524 to 776 of the family's 1533-position model. The record is from RNAcentral.
GACGAAGGUGGCAACCGUUGCUCGGAAUCACUGGGCAUAAAGCGCACGUAGGUGGCUAAGUAAGUCGGUGGUGAAAUACCUUGGCUCAACCAAGGAAGUGCCAUCGAUACUGCCAUGCUUGAGGACGGGAGGGGUGAGUGGAACUCUUGGUGUAGCGGUGAAAUGCGUAGAUAUCAAGAGGAACGCCGGUGGCGAAAGCGGCGCACUGGAUUUCUUCUGACGCUGAGGCGCGAAAGCUAGGGGAGCAAACGGG